RNAcentral lists this long non-coding RNA (1755 nucleotides) under Pogona vitticeps (central bearded dragon). Its description in RNAcentral is "lncRNA (ENSPVIG00000006255.1)". The record is from RNAcentral. Lineage: Eukaryota; Metazoa; Chordata; Lepidosauria; Squamata; Agamidae.
CUUUACUGUGAUUUUGGUUUCAAACAUUUCCUGGACUCCUCUUUCAGAUACUCAGCCUAUGUCUCUCUCAACCUGACUUGACCCAAGCUUGCAUUACAAUAUUCUCCAAAAAAAUUAAAUGAUUAUAAAGCUAACACAAGUGCUUUCUCUGUAAUUGUGUGCCUCUUUCGAAAUUGCUACCAGUGAUGAAAACAAGGCAGGUCUCCCAUGUUUCUGGUUGAGGUUAAAUAGUAACUAGACCACUCUUUGUGAUGUUGCUUUGUGAUGCAAUUCAUGACACUCCUUCACUUCUGGUCCAUGACUACAACCAGACAUUUAUUUGUUGGGUAACCAGAGCACUGUCAGCAAUGUUUAUCCAGUGAUGGAGAAGACAUAGUAUGUUCUGGUUAGUCCUGGGGAAGCAUUUGCAGCCUCAGUCAGAUAUCUUUAUUCUUGUUAUUAUUUUGAUGGUGAAACUCUUGAAGAAUUUUUCUUUGCUUCAUAAAAAAUUGUGAAUCGAUGAAGAGAAGUUUCAGGUAGCUUUUUGAUGAAAUUCCAUCCAAGCUUUCCAACACCAAAGCUAAGGUACAUUAGUGAAGACCAAGUAAGUGCCAGAGGGCACAGAAAUAGUUACAGUACAAAGAUGCAGAGAACAAGCCUCUCCACCACAACUGAGGUCUGUCAUCUUCCAUUCCUCAACAUCAACAUAAAAGAAGACAUGGAAGCUCACAUGACGAGAAUUGUUCAGUGCAGGUGGGGACUUCCUAAAUGAGUUCUGCAGUCCUUGGCUGUUGGAGUUGGGAACCUUCACAACAGCAGCUCAAUAUAUCUGAUUCAGACUAAAAAUGGGUAGAAGUUAGAGGAGCUUUCCAAAGCCCCAUUCCUAAAAUCUCUAUGGGCCCUGCUUCCUCUUCAGAUUGCAAAGAAGCACAUAACAUACUGUAGGAAGGUCUGAAAGAAGUUCCAAAGGGCAGGACUAAAACUAGACCAGCUUACCUUUUAGAGAGUAAUAUAACAUUUUUCUUUUUCCUUCUGUUUUUUUUCUGUUUUAGGAUUUUAUUUUGUCUAGAUGUGCUUGAAUGGAUUAACAUAGCUACUUCUUUGAAAGUUAUAUUGGGACAAAUCAAUUUAGAUUCAUAUGGAAAGACCAUGUGGCAGACCCAAUUAGAAGAUGUAUCAGUUUGUUGGAACCACUCCUUUCCAUGUGCAAGAUGUGUGUAACCAGUUUUGAUGAUUUCCAAGUGUUUCCACCUCAUUUACAGAAACGGACAUGAAUCGCUGGUUUGGCAGUUCAUGCCGGUUCAUUUGUGGGCUGAAUAAGUGUUUUGUGCUUCAAAGCCCUGCCUCCUCCAGUGGGCACCCACUUGGAGAAAAUGGUCUGUCCUUCCUGCCCCACCUCCUCUGGGCGCUGCCUUUGACUGGGCAUCUGCCAGAGGAGGUGGGGCUUUGAAGUGUCAAACACCUGUUCAGCCAAUACACUAGCUGGUGUUUUAUGCCCAUCUCUAUUCUAGAUCCUAGGCAAUGCUUAAAUAUCAAACUUCCCUUUUCCACUGUAAUCCAUGCCUAUUUUAACCCUUGAUGCUAUUUUAUAUUAAAAAUGAAUGUAACUAAAAUGAAAUUCCCCUUCCCCCCACGGAGUGAUGAUUGUUCUGCAAUAUAGCCUCAGGGCUCCUGUGCCUAGGGCUGGCGCAGUGCAAAGAAUAAGAACAAAGUUUAAGUGAAAGUCAAAAACACCAGGAGAAAUGAAAUCACCCAAUAAAGCUGUAUGUAUUCACA